Molecule: non-coding RNA, 2734 nt
Organism: Anas platyrhynchos (mallard)
Lineage: Eukaryota; Metazoa; Chordata; Aves; Anseriformes; Anatidae
Source: RefSeq, a predicted model, not a curated record
UUCAUAAAAUCUGACCAUCCCAGCUUACUUGCCUAGAUUAUUAGUCAAUGAAAAGCCAUACAACAUUUAAGAUGACUUCUUGUUUACCUUCACAAAAAUUUGGACUAAUUUCAUCCAGCAAGGUAAAAGGCAUCAUCUGCUAAUUGCACAGGCAAAGGAAUAGCUAUUUGGGGUGUAUGAUUAAGCUGUAGUAAAUAAAAAAUUAUUAAUAUAGCUUGUCACUGUCUUCAGGUGCUGUCCUGUACUCAGAGACUUGUCAGCAAGCCCCCUCAAAUGUAAUCUGUUCAUUAAUUAGACAACGUGUGCCAUGGAUGCACAAUUUGUAUGAGCAGGUGGAUUGCUGAGGACAUCAUCCUGUCAACACCAGCCUGUCCACCCCCUCCCAGUAAUAUAAUUUCCCAUCUCAGUCUUCCUCAUUCACAAUAUCAUCACAUCCUUAAGUCCCACGCCUCUUUAUCACAUUCCCACAAAGGAAACGGUCUUAAUCAGGUGUUACAACCUGGAACUCCCAAGGCAGCUGCUCCAAAUGAGCGUCAGCAGGGAGGACCAGCCUUUGGGGACUGGUGAAGGUGCAAGCCACUGGUGCCAGCCCACAGCCCUGCGCAGAGUGUCCGUCAGCCAACAGAGGUACUGGGCUGCCCUGGUGGUAACCUUUCUUAUGGCAUUAAGGACUUCAGUGCCACUCACCCCAUUUCAAUAGUCGAUCCAAGGAAUGACGGAAUGCAGUAAUCAGCAGCUGCUUUUGUGUAGGGUGGCCGGGCAGAAGAGUCAUUCCAGUAAAUAUCUUUCUCCAUCCUUGGCCAGCAGUGGAAGGUGAAGAAUGAGGUGCUGAGAAGACCAACACUAUGAAAACCUCACUGAAGGCAGGAGGAAUGAAAAGCAGACAGGGGACGCCUCUGCUCAAACCCAUUGGUGUGCCCUGGGGCACUGGAUUUCAGGUAUAACAGAUCAGGCCUGAAGCCAAGGAAUGAGCUCAGUUUCGCCAUCAUUUCUGAGGAACUGCCAAGUUACUGGAAGUCAAUAGUGCUGGGCCCUUUACACAAUCUGGCAGCCGAAGCCCAACGCACUCAGCAGGAAAUGGGCUUUAACCUUCAGAACAGAAAUAUCCCGACUCUGUGGCUCUGCAGGUCUGAGGGAGCAUUGCUGAUUUUAAAUCUGCUUUUUAAAAGUUAGUCUACCUUGAUACUCACUGCAGAGGAGAGAACCAGUGUGAGGUGUGUGCUUUAAUUACUCAUCUAUCAGAUUGAUGACGGGAUGUUAGCUGACGAGGCAUCAAUGGGACGAUGGGUAGCAUCCAAGUCCUUCCAUAACUCUUUUUUAAUGAAUGUUUUUAUGCAGUGGGAUUGUAGCCAAUAUUAGCUGCCAUGUUUGAUAGCCAUCUGAAACUGGAGACCUUUAAUUGCCUGCAUCUGAUUAGUUAACAGUAGACACUAAAGGCAGGCUUUGAUCCUAAGAAGCAAGUACGAUUUAGUCCCGUUCAGCUCAUGCCAGGUCUGCAACAACAGUAUUUCCCCACUGCACAGCAGAGGGGGAGAAAACUUUUUUUUUUUCUUUAUUUUAUAGUCCAAGUCCCUGGGACUGGAUUUUGCUGGAUUAAUGCUUCCUUGGGGAGCUGUCACUGCUCUAUUAAUAAAAUGGGCUCUAUCAGGUUCCCAACAAUUCCUUACAGUAAGAUCUGUUGAGUGGAAUUAAAAAUGUAUUGGAUGACUUUUUCUUUAUGACCACAGGACACUCUGGGCUGAAUCCUGCUUUGGUAUAACUCCAUUAAUCCUUGGUGAUUUUAUAGUGUGCCGUGAAUCUGACACCUUGACUUUGGCUCUGACACCUUCACCAGCUCACCCAGGGUGGGUUCCCCCAUCACCUUCCCAGAAAACUAGUUUACCUUGAGCCAUCCUGCGUAGAAGAAGAACUGUAACAGUGUGAAGAUUGGAAUGUAAAGAUCUAAGUCAUGUCCCUGAUACCCUUGGUCAGUAUCCAAAAAUUGGCGCCCUAUCAGGCAGGCAAAGAAAAAAGUAUAGACUGCAAGAGUAACAACCUGCAAAGAACAAAACUUAAUUGGAAACAUGUCAUAAUACAGUCUUAUGCAUAAGGCAUCACAUAUCCAAAGGCCUCUGACUGCCUUUUGUAAUACUAUUUACAAAUCUGUAGAAAAUGUUACAAAUAAAGAGGCCACAUGAGUAAUUAUAGCUAGGAAGUAGACCCAGGAAACAAAAAUUUUGGUGCUUCCCCGCUCUCCAGAUUAUGCAAGGACUUCAAAACAUCUCUACAUUAAACACAACUUAAAUAUUUAACCAGGCGUCCAUAAUCCAGUGGGACUCAGGGAGUGCCCAACAGCCUGGAGCUGCCAGUUAAGUCUAUGGACAUUUGGCACAAAUCUCCCCUUUUAUGGAAACCGUGUUUCAAAUUUUGUGAAAGACAACAUCUCAGUACCUGGGUAUAGACCAGUGGAAUUCCAACCCAGUCAUAGCCAAACAAAAGGCUACACCAAGACCGGUACUUAUUCAUCUCCUGAAUGGGAAGGGAAAAAAAAAAAAAAAAAAGGAAAAAAUGGAAACAAACCCCAAUGAACUUAAAUGGCAUCAAUUCUGAAUGAUAAACAUUUCGUUACAGUUCAUUUUUAUACAUGCAAAAGGACAGGGAGACAAGAAAGUGUAGUAUAAAUGGAUUAAAUUAUUAUAUCCAGCAACCCAUUGCCAUGCUUGAAUAUUCACUUAAUUUAUGGAGUUUAAAUGGU